Molecule: ribosomal RNA, 253 nt
Filed under: uncultured bacterium
Lineage: Bacteria
Description: partial 16S ribosomal RNA
Rfam family: Bacterial small subunit ribosomal RNA
Source: RNAcentral
UACGUAGGGGGCAAGCGUUGUCCGGAAUCAUUGGGCGUAAAGCGCGUGUAGGCGGCUUGGUAAGUCCGUUCUGAAGGCCCGGGGCUCAACCCCGGGAGGCGGAUGGAUACUGUCAAGCUUGAGUCCGGAAGAGGCGAGUGGAAUUCCCGGUGUAGCGGUGAAAUGCGCAGAUAUCGGGAGGAACACCAAUGGCGAAGGCAGCUCGCUGGGACGUGACUGACGCUGAGACGCGAAAGCGUGGGGAGCAAACAGG